CCCAAGGAUUUCCGAAAGUCAACGGACUCGAUUGGUGGUCAUUCUCGAAACCAUAGCGAUGGCUCCAGUAACUCAGGAUUUCCACCCAGUGGAACCAGGGUGGUUUUGGGCCGGGAAACCACGCCCACUCCUCAGUCUCAGUACGCUGAUCUUCACUCCAAGCUACCAAGAGAGGUCACCACGAAGUUCGAUGGAACUUCCAGAGAUGGAUUAAUCGAAAUGGUUCUUGACCUUCAAGCCAAAUUGGCUCACUCGGAGAAGAAACAAAGCGAACUCGAAGAUUAUAUCGAUACAAUUGUUGAUGAAGGUGAUCCAAAGUGCCCCGGAUCUGCUUCAGAAGAACAACAUCAUGGAAAAGAAAUACGGACGAAUUGUUACGUAAGAACGAACUCAAUUAAGUCAUUACCAAUGAGGACGACGAAACUCAUCACGUUCUCAGUUUACGCCAUUGCUACAAUUUUCUAUAUAUUUCCCUAUCAAGUGGUUAUGGCUGGAAUGGGAUGUAAUGAAAAUGAAUUGACACCAACGCCCAGGAUAUGUGUGGGGGAUGAUUCCUUCCAAUUGACCUCGCGUACCCUGAUCACAGACUACCUACCAUAUCUUAUAAUGUAUUGCCAUAUUGUGCCAAACCCUCCACCCGCCACUACCAAGCAAACCACCCUUUCUCUUGCUCCACACGAAUCCGUCCUAAUUUGGAAGCGACCCUAUCGACCUAAACGACAUGUGCUCUUUACUCGAUUAAGCUCGACGAACUUUUACAUUCCAACCCUUCAAUUUAUACUACUAAAAAGUACAGUGCGCGUUCACUUGACAAAUCCUUCUUCUGCCAUUCACCUGCGCCAAAAGAUUAAUGAUAAUCUGUUUAUACUGCUUCAUCUUGCCUAUGCUGUUCCUUACCUAUUAUGUACACUUAUAGACUAUUAAUGUGAUUGAAACAUCUUGCUUGUGAAACCAAUAAUAAAGUAUGCAAAAGCU
Long non-coding RNA from Tigriopus californicus, 975 nucleotides. RefSeq lists it as uncharacterized. The transcript has 2 exons. NCBI's taxonomy places the organism in Eukaryota, Metazoa, Arthropoda, Copepoda, Harpacticoida, Harpacticidae. The record is from RefSeq and is a predicted model, not a curated record.